RNAcentral lists this long non-coding RNA (207 nucleotides) under Manihot esculenta (cassava). RNAcentral's name for it is "long non-coding RNA (MESC_LNC012450)". The record is from RNAcentral. Lineage: Eukaryota; Viridiplantae; Streptophyta; Magnoliopsida; Malpighiales; Euphorbiaceae.
AACAAAUAAAACCCUAAGACACUCUUCUUGGACCUGACUUAAACACAUAAGGUCCAAGCCCAAUCACACACUAAAAUAACAUAUAAGUAUUAAAACAUAAGCCCAAAACAUGGCCCAACACUCUAAAACUUAAAAGAUAAAGUAUGGCCAGAAUACAAGCCCAAACAAAGCUAAAAUAAAACAAGUGUUAAAUAAUAAAAAUAUAGC